This 361-nucleotide transfer-messenger RNA is filed under the name Devosia marina. Its description in RNAcentral is "Devosia sp. L53-10-65 transfer-messenger RNA". It matches the Rfam family "Alphaproteobacteria transfer-messenger RNA". Rfam says of the family: Bacterial tmRNA, also known as 10Sa RNA or SsrA, is named for its dual tRNA and mRNA-like properties. Its role is to liberate the mRNA from a stalled ribosome. Lineage: Bacteria; Pseudomonadati; Pseudomonadota; Alphaproteobacteria; Hyphomicrobiales; Devosiaceae. The record is from RNAcentral.
CGAUUUGCAUCCGCUUGCCCCCUCACCUAUAUAGGGAGUGCUCGCAAGGGCUAUGGCAAUAAACGGUCAUUGUAAUAAACCCAUCGGACCCGGGGGCAGUACCCGGCGUCUCCACCAUCUCCCCUCCUUUCCAGGGAGGAGCCAAUGGGGACGAAACAGGAUCGACGAGGGCGUAAAGAGUGUGCUUUUGCUCGGUGAGGUACCACCGUUAUCGGUCCGAAACUUAUAGUUGCUAAUGACAACAAUAAGGCUCCGGUCGCUCUCGCCGCGUAAGCGGUGCUAGCACUGGGAAUUUAAGUCCUCCGCCCCUAGCCGGGCGUCAGGCGGGGUUCGCAGGCACCUGGCAACAGAAGCCUGCACU